GGAGGGAGCGGCUCCGCCUAUGGCAGCCAUCUUUACUAGUGGCAGUGGGGACUGUUGCGGCUGCGGAGCAGCUUUCCACAGCGCUCUUUAAGCAGUGGAGUAAAGGCUGUGCGAGAGAAGUUUUGUUUGGGGUUUCUUUUCCCUUUUUACUUUUUUGCUCGGGUCCCAGGGAUGUGGUGGGGAUAGAAUUCCAGGGCUGGCGGCUGGGAGCUCAGCGUGGCCACCCUGGGAGGAGAGGGUCUAACAAGAAUUUUAGCUGGCGCUUCAAUAAAACCGCUUGGUGUGGGACCUCUCGGCGUGCGCGGGGGAGGGCGAAUUGAUUCCUCUUGCAUUUUAGAAGCAAAAAAUGAGAUCUGCUCCCGGGCAUCUUGCUGGAGCUGGAAAGCAAUAUGGAGCGCUCCCCCGAAUACGUCACGGUUCUCGCCCUCGCGGUGCGCCGUCCCACCCGCACGGAAUGCGGUUUUGUUUUUCAGAACUGUACAUCAAACAGCCGUCUUGGAAACUGUUUAUCGCUCCAGAAACAGUGGCCUGCAGGGGCGAAACUGAGCUUGCCUGGGAGACAUGCUACGAGAUGCUGGCUGAAAAAAAAUUUUUUUGAUCGUAUCAGCUCAUUUGCCUUUUUAGGCAACUUGUGUGUGCGCGCGCAUCCGGUUUUCAUUCGUCUCUGAGGUCCACCCGGGCGAAGAGAAAACCUUUUAUCUCUUACUGUAUCAGAAGGUUCAUUGUUCAGGACUCAUCUUCCGUUCAGGGGAUACGGGGUGCAGCGGGGGGCGCGAGAAUUAAAGUGUUUAGAGAUGGGGAAAAGGAGAAGCCAUGGCUGUCUUGCUCUGGCGCCAGGCGAUGCCCUUGUUGGUUUUAUUUGAGCUGCGUAGGUGCACAUUCGGGGGUUUGUGGAAAACCAAGGGUGAAUCCGGUGCUGCCUUGGCUACAGGGAGCUCCAGAAUUCACCUUGUAGGCGGGUGUUGCCAUGGCUACGGGGAGAGGUGGUUGGUGAAUUUCUCGCCGAUAAACCCAGCAAGGCCAGACCCCUCUGAUUUAUGAAGUCUUAGUAGUAAUGGACCACCCUGGUUUUUGCGUCCCGCUUCCAUCGUUCCCAUCCCUGUCCAAGAUUCCUGACUGAUCGAUCCAGGCACACAGGGACUGUCGAUUUCAGUGUUGACUAAUGCAGGCGCACUCACUGCCUUGUGUAGAUUUUCUGAUUAGAUGCUGGGUAUGGGUGGGACUACAGUCUUUGUGCCAUUUGCCUCCCUUUUUGAUUUGGAAGUUAUUGCUAAUUUUAGCAAUUGUGGAUAUUUAAUUCUUGCCUUUUAUGCCUUUUCCCCAUAAGUAAACGAUCACUAGCCCCCUAAAACUAACAGCACCCCAUUUUGUUGUUUAGCAGUACAGUGUCAAAGCACUGAGUCCAUGCACAUUGCAAAAGAAAGAAUAUUGCACUUUUGCAUAAUCUCCAAAUAGCAGCAACCACUGGAGCGACCGUGGAACACGCAAUAAUUCAGUGUCCUUUGGCAGGUGCAAUAGGAGCCUGCCACUCUGCUUGCUGUGUGAGGCAGACAGAGCGAAGGACUGAAUUUUCCAGAGCCUAGGUUUCUUCCGUGGUGCAGAGAGAAUCGAGUCUACUGCACAGAGUUCUCGUGACGAUUGCGCGAGACGUGAACCUGCCAGCACUGUGUAAAUUGUAAAGCUAUUGACCUAAUGAUAUUUGGUUACUGAAGCAUUUACUGAGUGCCCGUAAUUGUCUGACCUUGUGAGAGGAAGAUUUUCCACUUUGCAGGAAGAACAGAUGGACAAACUCAGAUCCAAAAUAAACCUUAGGUGGCACAGUCUUUCUUCAUUGAGUAUUAACAUGGUCUUAUUAGCAUAUAUUGUCAGAUUUUUUAUCCUCACCAGAGGACAUUUUUUUCAUUGCUUUUAGAAUGAGAAGAAGAGGGGAAGAGAGAGAGAAACUCAGUGUGAGAGAGAAACCAAUUGGUUGCCUUCUCACACCCUCCUGGGCAGAGAGGAUGAAACUGCAACCUGGGUGUAUGGGCCCUGACCGAGGAUCGAACCUGUGAAUUUCCCUUCCGUGGCACGAUGAUCCAAUGAACUAAGCCACCCCAGCCAGGGCUAUGUUGCCACAUUUGGGGGCUCUUGGGGUCACUAGCUUACCACAGUUUGUCUUGGACUUCCCUGGUUUUAACACUCAAACGCCCAUGUCCUGGAGAGCCUCUUUCUCCCAGGCAAACCAGGACGGUUGGUCACCCCUGGACUGUUUUCAGUGCCACUGGGAGGAUGAACUGAAUGGGAAGUGAAGCUUCUUACUGUCCACAGGUGAUUAGGAUUCCCUGCAGCUGGACGUUACUGGACACAAGAAAACGGAUGUCUAUGUCUCAGAAAGCCUGAUUAAGAUGGAACCCUCCCAUCUGGAGCCUGAGAUCUCUGAAUUUGUGGAAAACUUUUGUCAAUUACACGCUGAACACCUGAAUCAAUAACCAUCAAAAUUGUUGGAGAGAAAAAGAAGUUCAAUGGAAGAAGGGAAGCUUCUGUUUUACAAUGUAGCUUUUAAAAGGCAAAUAUUAUAUUAGGUUCUUUUAAAACACUAUGUGACUUUGAUACCUACAAAAUAAUAUAGUAAAUGUAAAUUAUUGAGAAACAUAUUAAAAUAAGCCACAGUGAGCCCGUCACCUAUUCAAAUCACCAGCAAAUGACCAAUUUUGUGGAAAACACUGGUGUACUUCCCACUGUCAAUCUAGGUCUGCCAUCUUAUGGAUCCCAAAUGGUACUGCCAAAAUGCAGGGCGGUGCCUCUGUUAGUGCGGGAGACGACAUUUGCACAGACCAAGAGAACACCUGCUCGCGCACCUGUAGCUUAUUUCCAAAGGAGUCUGUACAGCAUUCUGAAAUGUAUAUUCUUUGGUGAUUCUUAAUUUUAACUCUCUAGGAAAGAAUCCAAGUAAAUUGUGCCAAUUUUAAUUGUUUAUUGACCCCACGAAACAUUUCCCAGGCACCAUUUCAUUUCUUUGCUUUUGAAAUGGUCUGGAAAGGAGAGAGCAGUUCUUCACAGUGAUUGUGCGUGAGCACCCGCAUGUGUGUUUUACGGAAGCUGGGAGCAGCUACUCGUGCACGACUGUGAAACAGAACAGUCUUCCUCUUUUCAGUGUACAUCGCUGGGAAAUGAUGGGCAUAGGUGGUUUCCCACGGCAGAGUGUGUGGAAUUCACGCCCUCCCUCCCCU
Artibeus jamaicensis (Jamaican fruit-eating bat) is the source of this 3209-nucleotide long non-coding RNA. RefSeq lists it as uncharacterized. NCBI's taxonomy places the organism in Eukaryota, Metazoa, Chordata, Mammalia, Chiroptera, Phyllostomidae. The record is from RefSeq and is a predicted model, not a curated record. The transcript has 3 exons.